Molecule: non-coding RNA, 1374 nt
Organism: Lactuca sativa (garden lettuce)
Lineage: Eukaryota; Viridiplantae; Streptophyta; Magnoliopsida; Asterales; Asteraceae
Source: RefSeq, a predicted model, not a curated record
GUAAGAAGACCCACUGUUGCCCUUUAACUCCAUCCCUUCUUCCAAUCACCGACGACUCUUCCCUUUCUAGUUUCAAAUUCCCAUUCUUCCUUAAAUCACUCAUCGACGGAAAAACUCCAUUCGCCAUUGUAAUUAGAAGUAAAGACUAAAAACGGAAACUCACCAUCACAACCUAUUUAGAAGUAAAGAUCAUAAAUUGAAACCGAUAAGGUUCGAACCACCAGUUCCACCCUCUUCGUCGCUGUGAAUUUGAUAUUGUUCGAUUUUAGUGUAGAGAUAAACAUUCAAAUAUGAUAUGGUUCGAUUUCGAUUUUGCAUCUUAUUUUCAAUUGCUUAACAUAGAUUUUGAGUUCCCUUUAAUGUGGUUCCCGAUUUGUUUAAUAUGAGUUCAACUAGGUUUAACCUGGUGAAGAUAUGGAUGUGUAAUGGUUCAUCGAUUUGUUUUUUAGGAAUGUUGGUUUUGUUAGACUACUGAACAAGGUAUGAUAUGCUUGUCUAUGUUAGUUUUUCUGAACUACUUUUGGUGUAUAAAUAAGAAACUAAAAAUGACAGUGAUGAGUGGUGAUUGAAGAGGGUGGGAAGGGAAGAGGUAUUGAUGGUGUUUGAUUUGAUAAGGGGUGCCAUGGGAGAAAAGGUGGUGGUCGGAGGCUUUGGGAUAUCAUGAUACAGAAAGCGAUGAAGGUGGACGGAUGGACUAAAAUGGAAAAUGAAAAAAAAUACAGGGACCAUCUAUGUAAUUUUGUUUUGCUUAAAACGCUACACGCUUCCUGAACCCUCGAGCACAACUAAACCCUAGAGAUUCCGUCGCCGAAACCGGUUCUUCCUGUCGCAGACUCCAUAACAGAGCACCGAAGGCUCAUGUAGCCUUGCGAGUCUGUUCAGGACAUUGAUUCCUGGAUGCGGCAUCUUUUUGCUGCAAUUUAUAUGCUUCGGUUUAGCAUAACAAGAGCAUAUGCAUACUUUCCUUUUUAUAUUUGCUUCCAUUUUGUUGACCUAAUCAUGUAAUUAUUUCAACAUCCCCAUGAUGAAAUAUUUAGUAAUCUGAAUGUGUACAUGUUAUUGGAAAUGUGGUGCUCCCUUCUGCUUCCUAUAAGCAUAAGGUAGAGGAAUCACAAUUUCACAACUACAUGUCAGGCUGAUAAUAGGCAUUCUGAGGGAUAUACAUAUAUCUAUCAUAUCUUAUGGUAUUCUGCCUUUUAUUGUAUUUAAAAUCAGGAUUCUUAUAAUUGUAGUUAUUUAUCUAUUCAUUGUUGUUGCAACCUUUUCCUAGAUUCUAGGCUAUGGUAAUGUAAGUGAUUUGCUAAAAAAGCAUAUCAUUUUUGUGUAUAUGACAAAAAAUGUUGUGUUGAAUCAACUUCGUUUCUGUAUUUUCUC